Molecule: ribosomal RNA, 450 nt
Filed under: uncultured bacterium
Lineage: Bacteria
Description: partial 16S ribosomal RNA
Rfam family: Bacterial small subunit ribosomal RNA
Source: RNAcentral
GUGGGGAAUCUUCCGCAAUGGACGAAAGUCUGACGGAGCAACGCCGCGUGAGUGAAGAAGGUUUUCGGAUCGUAAAGCUCUUUCGUUAGGGACGAACGUGCUCUUUGUGAAUAAUGAGGAGUAAUGACGGUACCUAAAUAAGAAGCCACGGCUAACUACGUGCCAGCAGCCGUGGUAAUACGUAGGUGGCAAGCGUUGUCCGGAAUUAUUGGGCGUAAAGCGCGCGCAGGCGGGAUAUCAAGUCUGUCUUAAAAGUGCGAGGCUCAACCUCGUGAGGGGACAGAAACUGGUAUUCUUGAGUGUCGGAGAGGAAAGUGGAAUUCCAAGUGUAGCGGUGAAAUGCGUAGAGAUUUGGAAGAACACCAGUGGCGAAGGCGACUUUCUGGACGAAAACUGACGCUGAGGCGCGAAAGCCAGGGGAGCGAACGGGAUUAGAUACCCUGGUAGUCC